CAGGAAGUAGUUUAUUAAAAUAUUAAUUUUGGAGAUUAAAGAUAGAGGUGCCUCUCUUCCUGA
This 63-nucleotide transfer RNA is filed under the name Epicauta hirticornis. RNAcentral describes it as "tRNA-Pro". It matches the Rfam family "tRNA". Rfam says of the family: Transfer RNA (tRNA) molecules are approximately 80 nucleotides in length. The record is from RNAcentral. Lineage: Eukaryota; Metazoa; Arthropoda; Insecta; Coleoptera; Meloidae.